This 447-nucleotide ribosomal RNA is filed under the name uncultured bacterium. RNAcentral's name for it is "bacterial SSU rRNA". It matches the Rfam family "Bacterial small subunit ribosomal RNA", at positions 355 to 825 of the family's 1533-position model. The record is from RNAcentral.
UAAGGAAUAUUGGUCAAUGGGCGCAAGCCUGAUCCAGCCAUGCCGCGUGAGUGACGAAGGUCUUCGGAUUGUAAAGCUCUUUUGGCGGGGACGAUAAUGACGGUACCCGCAGAAUAAGCCCCGGCUAACUUCGUGCCAGCAGCCGCGGUAAUACGAAGGGGGCUAGCGUUGUUCGGAAUUACUGGGCGUAAAGCGCACGUAGGCGGAUUUGUAAGUCAGGGGUGAAAUCCCGGGGCUCAACCUCGGAACUGCCUCUGAUACUGCGAAUCUCGAGUCCGAUAGAGGUGAGUGGAAUUCCUAGUGUAGAGGUGAAAUUCGUAGAUAUUAGGAAGAACACCAGUGGCGAAGGCGGCUCACUGGAUCGGUACUGACGCUGAGGUGCGAAAGCGUGGGGAGCAAACAGGAUUAGAUACCCUAGUAGUCCCUGAGCGGGCUGGCAAGGCGCAU